AGGGCUUUAAGUUAAACUUUAAACUAUUAACCUUCAAAGUUAAAAAUAUUGCAGGAUUAGGUCCUA
RNAcentral lists this transfer RNA (66 nucleotides) under Cicadellidae sp. 'Neodcortus squaras'. Its description in RNAcentral is "tRNA-Trp". Lineage: Eukaryota; Metazoa; Arthropoda; Insecta; Hemiptera; Cicadellidae. The record is from RNAcentral.